CUUUUUAACCCUCUGUUUGAUACUUGUUACUAUUUUAAAGUUGUUUUAAAGACCAGUGUGAACUGGUCUGUUCCAGGUUUCCCUGAGAGCUGAGAACAACACAGAUUUAUUUAUUCAUUUUUUUAUUGUGGCCCUUAAAAGUCCUUACCAGAGGGGUAGCCUUCUGUAAUAAUUCCACAUACAAAAUUAUAGUGUAACAUAUUAGCAUGCUUUGAUACCCUUAGUAAAGCCCUUAAAAAUAUGCUGUGGCCUCUCAGGGACCUGUAAAGCAUUAGAUAAAGACCAAAGAGGAGGGACUAUUCAAGUAAGAGAUAUCUGGUCUCUGUCUGGAAAUGGUGGUUGAUAACACUGGGCGGGCAGGAGGGACAGAGGAAGGCUUCUGAACCGCAUCUCCCUGUUUUCCUGGCAACUCUAACUGAGCAGUUUGAGUAAGAACUCCGAGUCCAGCAGACUUGUGUCUUACAGCAGCUACUACUUUGUCUUCCCUUUCCUUAUUAUUGAAGAAAUUAUUCAACUUCACAAGGCCGUACUACAGGGUUUGGCAUCUCCUGGAAGGCCAGGAAACCUUUUGGAGGCUUUACUUUUGAUGGAGCAUUGGAAUACAAUGCUUGGAAGAGAAAGCAAACCAUCUUCUGUCAUGAGAUCAAGGAGGGGACUGCUGGUCACCCUCUUUUGCCCCUACCGGCAAUACCUUAUGCUCAGCUCCUCCGUUUCCGUUGCUGCUAUAGGACUGGCUGGAGCAGUUGACAGAUGUUUAGAGGAUUUCUUGUCUCUGGACCAGCACUUCAUCUGUUCCAAGUUAUUCAAAACACAAACAGGGGGUUGGCAGGAGUGAAACCUGCUCAGAACUGGGACGUCAAAACAGAAAUAUAUUUUUAAAAAGACAAGCGUCAAAAAAAAACAAGUGUUUGUGAGGUUUAUAGCAAGAUGUAUUUAAAUGGUUGAGAUUUUCUUCUUUUAACCCCUUGGACUCCCACCUGAAAUGACAUUCUUCAAUAUCUACAGCAGUUUUCCUGCUUAAAUGUACUAGCCAAUAACAUAAUUUGGGACUAUCUUGUCAAGUGUACUGUUGUAAAGCUGUAGUGUGAUCCUGCAAAUGCUGUGAGCAAUACUGUUGAACAGAGUGGUGGAGGGGGCAUUUAGUGAGAAAUAAAAAAACAGAGAGGGGUGAGGGAGAGAUAGGGAGAGGAGGAUGGUGGGAUUAAACAACCUGGGUUUAGAGGAGAAAAAAUGCAGUUUUUCAUAUUUCCAAAUCUAAAUCAGUAUAGGUAGAAGAAUUUCAGGAGAAGGUAGCUGAUACUGCUUGCCUGCUAGCUCAUUCAGCUGCUGUCUUAUUCAGCUGCAUGAGCGUAGUAAGGCAGGACUGGUAGCUGAUACAAAAAUGAAUCAACAACUGAGCCCUCCGAAAAAGGGUGCACUCCGUUGGCUGAGUUACAGUAUGCAGGCUAUACGAUAGUAACUCUAGUCAUAAGUAAAGGAGUAAGUUUUCUUCUGUGAGUUUUUUAGACAGUAAUCCUAACAAAAUUCAAGGAAAAGCAUGGGAAGCAAGUGUUUAAAUAAGCAAUGAAAACAAAGUGCAAAAAAAGAAAGAGGACAAAAAUGAAAUGAUUUCGGUUAUAUUUGUUCUGUCUUUUUUUUUGAGUUUGAUGAUUAUUUGGAGGGGAAACAAAAACAUC
Long non-coding RNA from Cygnus olor (mute swan), 1676 nucleotides. RefSeq lists it as uncharacterized. The record is from RefSeq and is a predicted model, not a curated record. NCBI's taxonomy places the organism in Eukaryota, Metazoa, Chordata, Aves, Anseriformes, Anatidae. The transcript has 4 exons.